This 547-nucleotide ribosomal RNA is filed under the name uncultured bacterium. Its description in RNAcentral is "bacterial SSU rRNA". It matches the Rfam family "Bacterial small subunit ribosomal RNA", at positions 355 to 896 of the family's 1533-position model. The record is from RNAcentral.
UGGGGAAUAUUGCGCAAUGGGGGGAACCCUGACGCAGCCAUGCCGCGUGAAUGAAGAAGGCCUUAGGGUUGUAAAGUUCUUUCGGUAUUGAGGAAGGUUGAUGUGUUAAUAGCACAUCAAAUUGACGUUAAAUACAGAAGAAGCACCGGCUAACUCCGUGCCAGCAGCCGCGGUAAUACGGAGGGUGCGAGCGUUAAUCGGAAUAACUGGGCGUAAAGGGCAAGCAGGCGGUUAUUUAAGUGAGGUGUGAAAGCCCCGGGCUUAACCUGGGAAUUGCAUUUCAGACUGGGUAACUAGAGUACUUUAGGGAGGGGUAGAAUUCCACGUGUAGCGGUGAAAUGCGUAGAGAUGUGGAGGAAUACCGAAGGCGAAGCNNGCCCCUUGGGAAUGUACUGACGCUCAUGUGCGAAAGCGUGGGGAGCAAACAGGAUUAGAUACCCUGGUAGUCCACGCUGUAAACGCUGUCGAUUUGGGGGGUGGGGUUUAACUCUGGCGCCCGUAGCUAACGUGAUAAAUCGACCGCCUGGGGAGUACGGCCACAAGGUUA